UACGGAGGAUGCAAGCGUUAUCCGGAAUUAUUGGGCGUAAAGCGUCCGCAGGUGGCACUUCAAGUCUGUCGUCAAAGACCGGGGCUUAACCCUGGAAAGGCGAUGGAAACUGAAAGGCUAGAGAGAGGUAGGGGUAGAGGGAAUUCCCAGUGUAGCGGUGAAAUGCGUAGAGAUUGGGAAGAACAUCGGUGGCGAAAGCGCUCUGCUGGACUGCAACUGACACUCAGGGACGAAAGCUAGGGGAGCGAACAGG
This 253-nucleotide ribosomal RNA is filed under the name uncultured bacterium. RNAcentral describes it as "partial 16S ribosomal RNA". It matches the Rfam family "Bacterial small subunit ribosomal RNA", at positions 524 to 776 of the family's 1533-position model. The record is from RNAcentral.